Molecule: long non-coding RNA, 1398 nt
Filed under: Felis catus (domestic cat)
Lineage: Eukaryota; Metazoa; Chordata; Mammalia; Carnivora; Felidae
Description: lncRNA (ENSFCAG00000046696.2)
Source: RNAcentral
CUACCCAGAAAUUCCUUCUGUGGCCUCCUCCGCAAACCUGCAGCAAAGUGGGGCUGGGCUGAAAUUUUCUCCCGUUGAACAAACACGCUCACUCACUCCAGGCUGGGCCUGGCCUCAUUCCAGCAGCUGAACGAGACCAGGCCCUGCCUUCGGAGAUUUGAAAGUGGAGCAGACAUCAGCCAACAGUCCCCACUCACCCUGACCCCGGGGCGGAGGAGGAAGCGGAGGUGUCACCCAGCUGUCACCUGCUCUGGGAGAGCCGGGCGGGAGCCAGCCAGGCUUCCUGCAGGGGACGAGAGCUGGGCCUUGAGUUCGGGUUUCAGCGGCAGCCGAGGGGCAGGCGGGUGGCUUCUGGGGGCUUCUGAGGGCGACCGACGCCUGGCGAGCAGCGAGCACCCACAGUGCUUCUUUGAUUUUCCAUGGGAAGAAUGUGUCUCCGACAGCUGCUCUCCCAAGGAGAAUAUGGAGUCACCUGGAGCCACUCUGAAUCCCUUGUCUGGAGCCAACCCCAGCUGCCUUCAGCCUGGAGCAGAGCUGCCUUCACCAAAGCACAGACACGUGAGUGAAAAAAAUAGAUGCUUAUCGUCGGACGCCACUGAGUUUUGAAGUGGUUUGUUAUGCAGCAAUACUGUGUCAACAGCCGACUGAUGCACCAUUUCACCUUGGGGCCGGAGCUCAGAGAGGAAGUGCAUGUAGAGGAAACCAUCUAAUUUCGGAGGAAUUAAAAAAUAUUGGGGCUGGUCCUCUAAGCCUCUCAGAGGAGUCCACCUUUGGUGCGAUGCCAUGUCUGAUAGUGGUGCGUGGGGAGGCAGCACCUUCCAGAAAUGGGCAGAGGUAGUGCCCUGGCUUCAUAUUCGAUGCUGGGACAGAGAUCCAGGAAUUCCCACAUGUCCGGUGGGGGGUGACGAAUGUCUGGGGGGAGCUCUCUGGUUUAUAUAGAUGAGAGCUUAGCACAGGGGCACCACAAAGCACAGGCCCUUGGGAUCUCAGGUUGCACAAGGUCUCCAGUUAUCAGCCUGACAUGCCGAGAUCAGACAAGGACCAGCCACCGGGGGUCCCCAGGGAAGACCCCAGCACAGGCUGCCCUUAUAGUAUGAGCACAUAGCAGUAGAGAAUAGAUACAUGUUGUUUUAAGCCACGGCAGCAACAGAAAACGACUGAAAGCUGGAAGCCUGUUGCUACUCUCCAGCAGCAGGGGAUUGUCUGAUAUAAGCUUGUUUUUGUAAAGAAAAAAAUGACAGAGAUUUAUGGGAGAGAGUAUAGAGCUGUGGUUACAAGUUCGGCCUUUGGAGGUAAACAGAUCUGAAGGUCUUCCUCUGGUUCCACGCUUCCCAGCUGUGUGAUCCUGGGCAAGUGACUUACCCUCUCCCAGCCUCAAUUCCUGCAUCGGUAAAUCUC